GCACCAACCACCUUGCGGCCGCAGCGCAAUGCAGCAGCUUCGGCAAUGGAAAUGCUGAACAUGGUCCAUUCGGACUCAAUGUCCCCAGUCUCCCUCGGAAUGCUGCUGAAGCUCUGCCGGAGGUGUGCGUUGAAGAUCUCGCGGACUGGGGCCUCUGCUAGACGUUCCCAGCACACCCUCACUACGCGUUUAGGUGCACCAGGUCUGUCCAGCGUCCUCCCCCGCCACCUGAUCCAACUCACCACCAGGUGGUGAUCAGUUGACAGCUCAGCCCCUCUCUUUACCCGAGUGUCCAGAACAUAUGGUCGCAGGUCAGGUGAUACGAUUACAAAAUCGAUCAUCGACCUACAGCCUAGAGCGUCCUGGUGCCACGUGCACUUAUGGACACUCUUAUGUUCGAACAAGGUGUUCGUUAUGGCCAAACUGUGAUUAGCACAGAAGUCCAACAACAAAACACAGCUUGGGGUCAGAUCAGGAAGGUUGUUCCUUCCAAUCACGCCCCUCCAGGUCUCGCUGUUGUUACCCACGUGAGCAUUGAAGUCUCCCAGCAGGACAACAGAGGCUCCAGGUGGAGCACCUUCCAGCACCACCCCCCCCCCCAGGGUCUUUAAGAAGGCUGGGUACUCUGAACUGCCACUUGGCAGAUGACAGUUGGGACCUGUUCCCCGACCCUAAGGUGCAGGGAACAAACCCUCUCAUCCACCGGGAAGAACCCCAACGUACCGGCAGCAAGCCGAAGGGAUAUUAGAAUACCCACCCCAGCCCACCAACUCUCACCAGGGGCAACUCCAGACUGAGACAGAGUCCAUUCCCUCUCCAGGAGACUGGUUCCAGAGCCCAAGCCAUGCGUAGAGGUGAGCCCGACUAUAUCUAGCCGGUACCUCUCAACCUCACGCACUAACUCAGGCUCCUUCCCCACCAGAGAGGUGACAUUCCAUGUCCCUAUUGCCAGUCUUGGUAGCCAGGGAUCAGUCCGCCAGGGCCUCCGCUCCUGGCCGCCGUCCGGCACCCAAUGCACCCAAUGCGCCUUCUGUGGGUGGGUGGGCCUGCAGGAGUGUGGGCCCAUGUCCUCUUUUCGGGCUGUGCCCGGCCAGGCCCCAUGGACUAAGGCCCGGCCACCAGACACUCGCCCUUGGGCACCCUCCCUGGGCCUGGCUCCAGGGCGGGGCCCCGGUAACCCUAUAAGUCUUGCCGGCUUUAUAGUCAGUGUUCAGUCAAGUCAAAUCCAAAAGGUCAAAAGUCUGUGAUGGGUGUGAUUUUGUCCAACCGCUCUGUUGCAAUUCUUCGUGAGAGAAGAGCAACCUGCCCUUCUGGGCCAACUCGGAAUGGCUGUGGUUCGGUUCAAAGGGAACAGCUCGCCAUCUUCCUCGUCAGGAAGAGAUCCAGGUCUCACGAUCCCACAAAAAAAGCCAGCACGCUUCUAAUGUUCAACUCUCAGAGAGGAUAUUGUCCGCUUCCUCCGCGCCCGUGCAGAUCACGAUGGUUCCAAAGUGUUCACAACAAAUCAGAUAACUUCACAGGAAAACCACCUUCCUUGACCAUCAGCAGCCCAAAGUGUAACUGCACCCAGCAGACCCACAAUGCAGCAGGUCUGAAGGGUCAGCUGUGGUUCUGGGUGCUUCUGGGAAAAACUACCAUCCUGCUCCUGAGCCUGGCCUCGCUGGCUGUAAAACACAAGACAGAAUGAGAUCAGACGGACACCCAUAUCUCCUCUCAGCAUUGCUUUGUUUGUAUUAUUCAGUUUUAAGAUGUAGCCUCUUUUAUUCUGUCUUCUUUUAAAUUUAAGCUCUGCAUUAUUUAGUCCGCAAUUAACACGCAUGCACACACACAUUUGACUAAAUACCCACUGCAAGGAACAAUCAGUUUAUACUGGGGCUCACUCAUUUGCAGUAAAUUUGUUUAUUUGUGGUGUCUGAUUUGCUGAAGCUUUGCUCUUUAAAUUAACACCAGGAUCCAUGAUUUUGCUAAUUAUUUUCAUCAUGAUUUGCUUAAAAUAAUGAAAACAUGACAAAGGUGUUUUUAAAACAACUCGAGACAUUAAAACAGUAAAUAAUUCCCUUAUUAACUCUCCAAUAGUUUGCUCUGAGGCUGCAUAACCAACACCAGAUUAUGUCGACUCCUUGAGUGGAUGGACGGGAACAUGAUAGUAUUCCUCAGUAUUAUUGUCUGCACAUAGAGAGGGCUAGAUGAACAUGGGGCACUGGUUUAGGUCACUGUUGUGAUCUACAUCCUGAAAGGUUAAUGAUGCAGAGGCCCUGAGCUGCUCGCUGCUCCUCUUUGUCCCAGCUUUCUUCUGUUCUCUUCACUGUCAUGCUGCUAAAUAAAUGCAACAAAUAAAAAAAUGGUCUUGUG
Long non-coding RNA from Astatotilapia calliptera (eastern happy), 2352 nucleotides. The record is from Ensembl. Lineage: Eukaryota; Metazoa; Chordata; Actinopteri; Cichliformes; Cichlidae.